UGGAGUGCUAGCAUCUGGAGCGUCGAGCUUCUGGUCGAAGCGGGUCAGUCUGCUUGCAGCGAAGGCAAACUUAGACCGUGUGAAAAUGGCUGCCGAUUGGUCCAUAGUGCUCGGAACCGUAAGAGGGACUGCCGAGGGGAGCAACAAGACAUCGAAAGCAUAUUCUCAACCCAUAAAAUACGAACUGUAUAAACGUAACAAUAUUAUGGAAAUUGUAAAAUGUGGCCGGAAUGUGCAGAUAUAAAUACUACGAUCAAUAAAUGUUUAACCAAGAGCGAAAAUUGUGGACGAACAAUAAUAUUGAGGCACGAGGUACCAAUGUAUAGAGUCGGUUGCAAACGGCAGUUCAAAAAAAUAUACCCUCGAAAUGCGAGGUAGCGCGUUGCUUAACGUUCCAUUAAGUUCAAGUGCGGCAUCGAAAACUAUCCCAACAAAUACAAAGCAAGCAACCAGUGGAGAAGCGAAAAAACGAAAAGAAUGCACUGCAUGUAUGUAUGUAUGGCUGUAAGUGCUAUUUACCGAGGCUUCGGUUAACGAACCACCCUUUUGACGAGAUUCAAACAACGGGUAAAACGGUAUAUAACCAUUUUAUAGUGAUAUAUGUAUGUGUAUCAAUAACUAUGAAGGCAUGAGUGAAUAUAUAUAUGUAUGCAUAUGUUCAAGUAUAUGCUAAUUGAAAAUGUAUACGUAGCCAUAAACAUAUGUACAUAAAUAUGUGCGGGGGAUUCAAGUUCAAGAUUAUUAAGAAAUAGGUAAUGGAUCACUUGGGUGUAACGUGUAGGUAGCGCGCCGGUUAAAACGGCGGUGGGAGCGUAACUAACUUAUCUUAAGCGUUACGCUGCGGUGAACGCCUUGUGGAUUGUGGAUCUUCCGACCGCACCGCCAAACUCGCGACAUCGAGUUGGGACCGGACCGCACGGAGUUGGCACAGUGCGCGGCAAUUAUCUACUGAUGCCCUGAACAAAAAAUAUUCCGAAAAUAUCGACGUUCUGCCAUUUUUAGCUCAGUCACUGAUCUUAAACUCAUCGAAAUCUUAUGGCCGAAGGUCAAAGGAAUUCUACCAACUGCAAAUCCGUCAACAUGAACUAAGUUUUGGCAAGUGGCUUAAGAAUUAUUCAAAUUAUUGGCUCAAAUCCUAUUGAAACGUUGGCAGGAUCUUACUGACCCAUGCCAGGCUGGGGUUAAGCAGCUCAUACAGAACAUAUAAAAUAGGUUUUAAUUUGAGUUUAUUUUUUUGAUUUUGUUCGAAAGCAACACUAUUUCAAUGAACAGCAGAUAUCUUGGGUAAUUGUGUAAAGCCAUGAAAAAUAGAAGAUGAAUGUAAAUGUA
Drosophila miranda is the source of this 1329-nucleotide long non-coding RNA. RefSeq lists it as uncharacterized. The transcript is spliced from 2 exons. The record is from RefSeq and is a predicted model, not a curated record. NCBI's taxonomy places the organism in Eukaryota, Metazoa, Arthropoda, Insecta, Diptera, Drosophilidae.